This 194-nucleotide unclassified non-coding RNA is filed under the name uncultured fungus. Its description in RNAcentral is "sequence contains ITS1, 5.8S rRNA gene". Lineage: Eukaryota; Fungi. The record is from RNAcentral.
ACGAGUUAGGGUCUUCCAGGCCCGACCUCCCAACCCUCUGUUUAUUGAACCUUUGUUGCUUCGGCGGGCCCGUCUUUACGGCCGCCGGAGGAUCGUCGACAGGCGUCCUCUGGCCCGCGUCCGCCGAUGGCCAACCCCAUUAAAUUCUGAAAUGAACCGUGUCUCUGUCUAAGUCCUUGAUUAAAAUCAAAACA